This 442-nucleotide ribosomal RNA is filed under the name uncultured bacterium. RNAcentral's name for it is "bacterial SSU rRNA". It matches the Rfam family "Bacterial small subunit ribosomal RNA", at positions 958 to 1398 of the family's 1533-position model. The record is from RNAcentral.
AACGCGAAGAACCUUACCUGGCCUUGACAUGCAAGUAGUAGAAGCCUGAAAGGGUGACGAAUCCGCAAGGAUAGCUUGCACAGGUGCUGCAUGGCUGUCGUCAGCUCGUGUCGUGAGAUGUUGGGUUAAGUCCCGCAACGAGCGCAACCCUUGUCCUGUGUUGGCAUGCCGCAAGGCGCAACUCGCAGGAGACCGCCAGCGAUAAGCUGGAGGAAGGUGGGGAUGACGUCAAGUCAUCAUGGCCUUUAUGUCCAGGGCCACACACGUGCUACAAUGGGCGGUACAAAGCGCUGCCAACCCGCGAGGGGGAGCUAAUCGCCAAAAACCGUCCUCAGUUCGGAUUGCAGGCUGCAACUCGCCUGCAUGAAGCUGGAAUCGCUAGUAAUGCUAUAUCAGAACGAUAGCGUGAAUACGUUCCCGGGCCUUGUACACACCGUACGUC